UACGCUGUUCUUGCACUCUAAGAGAUGGAAUAAAUGACCAACUUAAAAAAGUGAUGGAUUCUCUACCAUAGCUACAUAUACAUAUAGAAGAACUACUUCUAAGAAGAAGUGUGGAGCAUUUUGAGCUCAGAACCUCUACAGAAAAACAUAAAAAAAACAAAAAAUAAAAAAAUACAUGAAAUAAGAAGAUAUCAAAAAGAAUUACACUAUAGCACCUUCACAAUGCAAAGGAGAUAGGAGAAUUGUUUUAGAAUUAUUGGAGCUU
RNAcentral lists this long non-coding RNA (265 nucleotides) under Physcomitrium patens. RNAcentral's name for it is "long non-coding RNA (PPAT_LNC004558)". The record is from RNAcentral. Lineage: Eukaryota; Viridiplantae; Streptophyta; Bryopsida; Funariales; Funariaceae.